RNAcentral lists this transfer RNA (73 nucleotides) under Candidatus Liptonbacteria bacterium. RNAcentral describes it as "tRNA-Thr". The record is from RNAcentral. Lineage: Bacteria; Candidatus Liptoniibacteriota.
GCCCAUGUAGCUCAGGCAGUAGAGCACAUUUUUGGUAAAAAUGAGGUCUGCAGUGCAAAUCUGCACAUGGGCU